UAUGGGAUACAAAGAAAAAAAAGAAGAUAGUAUUUAAAUUAUUAAACCCUUAAACUCUUUGCUAAGGUUUUCAAAGGAAUGCACUCUGAGGUAGGAGAAACCGAAGAGCUGUAUUCACUUUUCUAGCAUUCCAAUUAGGAAAGUUGUGAACUUUUUGUUUCCUAGCUGCCUGCAGACAUGGCAGAGUUUGAGAGGCUUUCUAAAAAUCCCUAUAAUUCUCAUUAAAGGCUUUUGUAUUUAUUCCUAAGGCAACACCAAUGUAAUGCAAUUGUUUGCAGUUAUCUUUAGUAGUGAGAGAUGGCAAGUAAGCAAUCUGAACUGUUCAGUAAGGCCUGUUAGAGAGAGACCACAUCAAUCCAUCAGCAAAGGCUGAACAAGGAAAGAAGUGCUCCAGGAAGACUCUGAGAACCUGUUCUUCUGUGGUGUGCAGCCUCAUCCUCAGAGCAGGAUUAAUUGUAUUUCUCAGGCAUUAAGAGUGACACUAUAAAGAGAAGCCAUUCACAGAAAAGCUGUCUUGGGAGAAAACAGAUUUCAAGGUUAAAAGAAAAAGGAAAGAAAGAAGAAAAUUAUCAAAAGAUGAAGCUAAACUACUCACUUGAGCAGUUUCAUUCAGCUGGGAGAAUAUCAUCUUCUGUCCUUUUUUACUUCAGAAAAUAAUUCUUAUAAUCAUUAAUUUAAAAGGCACCCUCCUUUGUGUUCUACUGGCACCAUACCUUCCACAGUUUUGAGGUCAAAGAGGCAAACAGCUGUGGCAAAUGAAUCCAAGCAAGCAGCCUGGUAGUUCGUCAUGGGGAAGAAAUAGAUUGUGGCAAGGCAUCUGUAAAAUUUCCCUAAGGCCAUCAUGAUACAGUAGCUUAAAAAUGACAUAUAGCUUUGCAGCCUCAAAGUGAUCAUUUAGAUUAGGUUAACAGGAAGAAUGUUUUUUGUAACGAUGAGAACAACAAACGCCAACCAAGAAAUAUCGAUGUUUCAGCAGAAACACUUACUUAAAUUGCAUUUGGUCACCCCCCAUGGAGAGGAGAGAAAACCUUUUAGCACUCAUAAAAGUGAGAGAUGAACAGCAACCGUCCAGAGCCAAGCCUUUCGGAGAUGGAGGCAAUGUGUGAAACACUGCUCACAGCACGGCCAGUGCUCCCAAUUCCCAGCCUGCCCUGUGCCCAUUACUGCGGCUGAGCAGGCUGCGGCCCCUGCUUCUCCAUCCUGCUCUCGAAAAUGAUGGUUUUGUGAUGCAAAUGAAGACCGACUGAAAACCACAGCGCUGAUCCUCCUCCAGACCACCUGCACCGUUUUUUCCUCCUCUGAGACAUGGAUAUCCUUGAUGGAAAAUUUAUUCCUUUUUACUGUGGCUGCUCUGGUGACAUGGUGACAUGGUGCCUGCUGCCCUGCAGAGACCUCCUGUGCAGAGCUGGAUGGCACAAGGAGAUGAGAGACAUCAACGACAAGAGGAGAGCGGCUAUUUCCACCAAGGCCCUAACACACCUAAUAUAUUGCAAAUGCAGAAUUGAUCAUCCUGCUCAAUCAGAAGUGUUCUUUUUCUUUCCCCCAAGAUAAACGUCCAUGGACUGGUGAGUUGGACUUGGUCCUAAGCAGAGAACCGUGAUGGUGACGCACACUGAAUGGCACAAUGUAUUUUUUUCCUUUGCUAUAGUUUAGCACUUUCACACCACAAUAAGACAAUAGUGGUGUUCUUGCCAGAAGUGCUGCCGUGCAUCUGCCCGCAGCGUUGCCCUCAGCAGGCGCCGUGCAGCCGUGCUGCAGCUGUACACGCGGUGCCCAGCAGUGCCAGGGGCUGCAGCAGGGCUGCUCAAUGCAGCUUUGUCACACGCUGCUUGGAGACAAGGGUUCGAGGUAGGAGUGUGGCUGCAACCACGCAGACACCCUGCAGAGGGGUUUCGGUGCUGAUCCUGCAGAGCCUGAAGGUUGCAUCAGAGCAGUUCCCUUACAACAUACACCCACGCAGCUAAUACCAGCCCCUUGUACCAAAACACACUAUCAGUGUAAAUGACAGCUGAAACACAGUAAACUUUGCCUUGAAGAGAGGACCUUUAACAGACUGCAAGUUAUGUCAUGUUCUAAAAAGAGUAAAUGUCUCUGGUGAAUUUACAUUACCUUGUUUAUUGUCACCUAGAGGUUUCUUGCUACUUACCAGAUUUUGCCUUUCAGCAAACCAUCUUCAGCUGCAGACUGAAAAGUUACUGCGGGAUUCUGUGCUAAAAAUUACCUCUGGAAAUAUAAAACAAUUCUACAUAGAAAAAUGAGUGAAAAAAGUAAGUGAAAAAUGAGAAGUUAGGGAUUUCUUUAGCUGAUAGCUGUGUUCUUAGAAGGACUGUUUCGUCUAAAUGACAAAGAUGUGCUGUCCUGAGAUCAUUUAAGAGACAUGUGAUGAACAUGAACAAGACUUUUUAAAUUGCAUUUAUAAGAAGAUUGCUGUGUGUGAGGAGGAGGAGAUACUUGAAGAGUUUCAGCCGAGGAAGAAACUGGUAAUUACACUGUCAUCAAAACCCAUACGCAAAUAUCCAGUAACGAGUUUAUGGAUCUUCAGGUUGAAAAAUGGUUCAUCUUCACAAAUUGACUGUGAAAGAGAACCGAUCUUGUGUUCAGUAUAAGACUAUUCAAUUCAAAUAACCUGAUCUAUUCCAACAAGUACUAUCAAAAUUUAUGAAAAGUUUGUUGGGACUGUAGAGUUGCCAUUUUCCUAAUGAGGAUAAUUAGCCCUAGCAGCAAAUGGAAGUGAAGGAGUCUCCAUCCCGACUGUGUGAUUAGAUCUGCAUCUCGUAUCCAAAACUGAAUCGAGCCUUCAGCACUGGAGUAAUUGGGGGAAGCUGUAUGGGCUCAUUUUGUACAGGUUACCCUACUUUGUUGCUCUUCUCUCCCUAUACCUUCAUGCUUCUGAAUGUUUGGCUCUAAUAUAAAGGAAGAGACAUUCCUGUUUCCUAUAUAAUAUACAUAAAAUUAGUUAGCAUAUUUAUUACAGCAUAUAUAAAGUAUUCAAGCCUUUCCUUGAAUUCAUCUUUCUUCUUACUUUGAAUAAAGAAACUUUCUUUGGAAGCAAACAAACUGUACCUCAUAACAUCUUUCCUGAGCUAGUGACUGUUAGGAAUGCUUCAGGGUGGAAUUUUGCCCAUAAAGAAUCUCACCUUUUAAUACUUAUAGGUUAACACUAAUAUUUGUCUUAGAUGCCAGAAUCAACGGAGUAGUUUCUCUCCUCCAGUGGGACCCGAAGCUCGACAGUCUGCCAUGGGCUCGGGGUUAGAGCAGGUCAUUUACGUUCUGAUGAAUCAGACCUUGCUGUUCCAAAUGCUGUUUUGCUAAACACAGAAUAUUUUAUUUAAAAUACAUCAGAGUUUGAUUUUUACUGUGUUCAAGAUUAGUUCCACUGGAUUCCCAUCUGUGCUUUUGACAGGUCCACCGCAAAGCAGACUUUUGCCACUGGAUGCUGGAAGGGAGCAGAGAAGCCCCCAGUAAAGCUCCUUUUACCAUUUUCCAGAUCCUGAUAGCUUUUAGUCAAAUAGCAGGUUGCUGUAUUUCUUGUCUUUUAUAUUGAGUUCUCUCCAGUUAGGACCCACACCGCAUAUGCACUAAGCUGAAGUGAGCUGGAAGUGCUUGCUACUUCUUCAAAUCACUGUUUACUCACUGAACUCAGGCUCUGAUAAAAUUGGGCUCCCUGUGAGGUGUACAGGUGAUAGCACAGACUACUACAAUUCUGCAGGUGACAAGGGGAACAGAGGAGAAGAAGAAAAUGAAAGAAGAGGGAAAGGAAAGGAAAACAAGCACAAAGGAAGACAAACAAUUUUAUGAAAUCUUAAGCAGCAAUGUAAUUAUUUGACUGUUAAUCAAGAAUUAUUUUACAGCUGAGGAGUGAUGCACUGAAAGUAGAAAGAGGCAGAUUUCGGGUGUGUUUUCUC
Long non-coding RNA from Numida meleagris (helmeted guineafowl), 3905 nucleotides. RefSeq lists it as uncharacterized. The record is from RefSeq and is a predicted model, not a curated record. The transcript is spliced from 3 exons. Lineage: Eukaryota; Metazoa; Chordata; Aves; Galliformes; Numididae.